GACCUGCUAGCUCAGCUGGUAGAGCAUCUCCCUUUUAAGGAGAGGGUCCUAGGUUCGAGUCCUAGGCAGGUCACCA
This 76-nucleotide transfer RNA is filed under the name Oligoflexia bacterium. RNAcentral describes it as "tRNA-Lys". It matches the Rfam family "tRNA". From Rfam's summary of the family: Transfer RNA (tRNA) molecules are approximately 80 nucleotides in length. Lineage: Bacteria; Pseudomonadati; Bdellovibrionota; Oligoflexia. The record is from RNAcentral.